GAGACUCUGUGCGCGUGCAUAUCAAUAAGCGGAGGAAAAGAAACUAACAAGGAUUCCCUUAGUAACGGCGAGUGAAGCGGGAAGAGCUCAAAUUUGAAAUCUUCAUAGGUUCUACCUUGACGAAUUGUAGUUUAUAGAAGUGUUUUCUGUUAGUAGGAGUGGCAAAAGUUCUUUGGAAUAGGACAUCAUAGAGGGUGAGAAUCCCGUAUUUGGUCAUUCUUUCUAGCUUUGUGAUACACUUUCAACGAGUCGGAUUGUUUGGGAAUGCAGUCCAAAAUGGGUGGUAAAUUUCAUCUAAAGCUAAAUAUUGGCGAGAGACCGAUAGCGAACAAGUACCGUGAGGGAAAGAUGAAAAGAACUUUGAAAAGAGAGUUAAACAGUACGUGAAAUUGUCAAAAGGGAAGCGUUUGACACCAGUGUUGUUUUUCCGAAAAUCAAUUACGAAUGUUUUAUUUUUGAGAAGUUAUGACUUCAUCGGCUUGCUUCUCUCUUUAUGAAACUUUCUUAAUGCACUUUUCGGUUAACAAGUCAACAUCAAUUUCUUUUGUUGUAAAAGGGUAUGAGGAAGGUGGCUUUCUUUUCGGAGAAAGUGUUUAUAGCCUUGUACCUCUGCAAUCGGAGAGAUUGAGGUCUGCAGCGUAGAUCCUUCGGGGUUAGAUACAUUUGUGCUAAGUUAUAGCUUUUCAUAGACAACUUGUUGACUAUGUUAAGUCUUGUAGCUUACUCGCUUAUGCUACUUUACCUACGCUUAGGAUGUUGACAGCAGUAUAGACUGU
This 776-nucleotide ribosomal RNA is filed under the name uncultured Neocallimastigales. RNAcentral describes it as "partial large subunit ribosomal RNA". It matches the Rfam family "Eukaryotic large subunit ribosomal RNA", at positions 23 to 635 of the family's 3401-position model. Lineage: Eukaryota; Fungi; Neocallimastigomycota; Neocallimastigomycetes; Neocallimastigales. The record is from RNAcentral.